Vombatus ursinus (common wombat) is the source of this 785-nucleotide long non-coding RNA. Lineage: Eukaryota; Metazoa; Chordata; Mammalia; Diprotodontia; Vombatidae. The record is from Ensembl.
CCCCUUUGUCACGUUUGGGGGUAUCUGUUUCCCUCUCUGCCCCGAGCUGACCGGAAACGGGCUCUACCUUCGGUGGCCUCUGCUCUGCCCCAGGAGGACAGCCUGGAGGGAGAGGGAAUGGCUCCUGCCCUGACAGCCAGGCCGGGGAAGGAGCAUUGAACACAAUCUGUUCACUAGGAAAAAAGCAAAAAACAAACAAACAAGCAAACAAAACCCACACACGUUUAAAAUUGAUGUCCUUGGAUCCAUUACCAACAAUAAGUAUCCACUGUAUUAAGUUGUGAAGAUACAAAGAAAGCAAACCUGGCCACUGCCCCCAAGGAACUUAUGUCUGAUGAGAGAGGAAUUCUAAAGUGCCUGUUAUGCACUAGUCACUGUACUGGAUUACACGUAAGCAACUGAAACAAUUCCUAUUGACAAGGAAGUUAUAUUGAAACUUUAUAACAAUUAGAGUUAUACCUUGGUAAGCACAAAUAUUUUGGUGUUUCAGGAAUCAGUGACAUUCCAGGAUGUGGCUGUGGAAUUCUCCUUGGAGGAGUGGAUACAUUUGAACCUGUCUCAGAAAAACUUGUACAGGGACGUGAUGCUGGAGAACUAUAGGAACUUGGUGUUUUUGGGGUUUGCAGUUUCCAAACCAGAUGUGAUCUACCAAUUGGAAAGAAAGGAAACAUCUUGGAUACCAGAGGCAGAUAUUCCAAGAAGCAGCUGUCCAGGUGACUCCAUAAAAACCAGUGAAAUGGGUCACUGGAAAAUACUACUCUGUUGGUUAUUGUAGGUCAAAACGC